RNAcentral lists this non-coding RNA (129 nucleotides) under Candidatus Zhuqueibacterota. RNAcentral's name for it is "Candidate division Lysine sequence". It matches the Rfam family "Lysine riboswitch aptamer", at positions 62 to 182 of the family's 182-position model. Rfam says of the family: Riboswitches are metabolite binding domains within certain messenger RNAs that serve as precision sensors for their corresponding targets. Lineage: Bacteria; Pseudomonadati. The record is from RNAcentral.
UCUCAGGAAAGGGGUCUUCGCCGAAGUCUGAAGGCUAUUGCUCUAAACUUCAGGCUGGGGCUAUGGUGAACAAUCAUAGCACUGUCACCUAAGACAGCUCCCGGUCUUAGGUGGAGCGCUAUCUCAUCG